This 177-nucleotide non-coding RNA is filed under the name Chthoniobacterales bacterium. RNAcentral describes it as "6S RNA". It matches the Rfam family "6S / SsrS RNA". Rfam says of the family: E. coli 6S RNA was the first non coding RNA to be sequenced, but its function was unknown until recently. It consists of 184 nucleotides that fold into an extended hairpin structure with a large single-stranded internal bulge. The record is from RNAcentral. Lineage: Bacteria; Pseudomonadati; Verrucomicrobiota; Spartobacteria; Chthoniobacterales.
UGCGCCCUGCGGUGUGCGAGAUACCGGUAUAUUGCCCCGAACCUAUGUAAACUAAUACGGAGGCUUCCUGACUUGAGUUAAUGACACGCCUUCACUGGACUUCAGCAAUUCAAGCAGUCGCUUCCACCUUACCCUUCUGGAACGGAUUAGCAUCCUUAACGGCAUCGCGGGGCACUC